CAGGUUGGUUGAAUGUGCGCGCUCUUCGCAGAGUGAGGAAAGUCCGUACACCACAGAGCAGGAUGCCAGGUAACACCUGGAGAGGCGUAAGCUUUUGGAUUAGGGCCACAGAAACAUACCGCGUUGCAAUACGUAAGGUUGAAAAGGUGGUGUAAGAGACCACCGGCGGGUUUGGUAACAAGCCCGGCUAGGUAACCCCCAUCCGGUGCAAGGUCAAACAGGAAAGAGAGUUGGCUCGGCUCAUCAGAUUUCCGGGUAGACCGCAAGAGCAGUUCGGUGACGUCCUGCCCAGAUAGAUGCGCAUUCUCGACAGAAUACGGCUUACAGACCAACCUGAACA
RNAcentral lists this RNase P RNA (340 nucleotides) under Anaerolineaceae bacterium. RNAcentral's name for it is "RNase P RNA component class A". It matches the Rfam family "Bacterial RNase P class A". Rfam says of the family: Ribonuclease P (RNase P) is a ubiquitous endoribonuclease, found in archaea, bacteria and eukarya as well as chloroplasts and mitochondria. Its best characterised activity is the generation of mature 5'-ends of tRNAs by cleaving the 5'-leader elements of precursor-tRNAs. Lineage: Bacteria; Bacillati; Chloroflexota; Anaerolineae; Anaerolineales; Anaerolineaceae. The record is from RNAcentral.